CCUACGGGAGGCAGCAGUGGGGGAUAUUGCACAAUGGGGGGAACCCUGAUGCAGCGACGCCGCGUGGGUGAAGAAGCGCCUCGGCGCGUAAAGCCCUGUCAGCAGGGAAGAAAAUGACGGUACCUGAAGAAGAAGCCCCGGCUAACUCCGUGCCAGCAGCCGCGGUAAUACGUAGGGGGCAAGCGUUAUCCGGAUGUACUGGGUGGAAAGGGGGCGCAGACGGCGAUGCAAGCCAGGAGUGAAAGCCCGGGGCCCAACCCCGGGACUGCUCUUGGAACUGCGUGGCUGGAGUGCAGGAGGGGCAGGCGGAAUUCCUGGUGUAGCGGUGAAAUGCGUAGAUAUCAGGAGGAACACCGGUGGCGAAGGCGGCCUGCUGGACUGCAACUGACGUUGAGGCCCGAAAGCGUGGGGAGCAAACAGGAUUAGAUACCCCGGUAGUC
Molecule: ribosomal RNA, 440 nt
Filed under: uncultured bacterium
Lineage: Bacteria
Description: partial 16S ribosomal RNA
Rfam family: Bacterial small subunit ribosomal RNA
Source: RNAcentral